RNAcentral lists this ribosomal RNA (970 nucleotides) under endophytic bacterium. RNAcentral's name for it is "bacterial SSU rRNA". It matches the Rfam family "Bacterial small subunit ribosomal RNA", at positions 56 to 1026 of the family's 1533-position model. The record is from RNAcentral.
UGCAGUCGAGCGGAUGAGAGGAGCUUGCUCCUCGAUUCAGCGGCGGACGGGUGAGUAAUGCCUAGGAAUCUGCCUAGUAGUGGGGGACAACGUUUCGAAAGGAACGCUAAUACCGCAUACGUCCUACGGGAGAAAGUGGGGGAUCUUCGGACCUCACGCUAUUAGAUGAGCCUAGGUCGGAUUAGCUAGUUGGUAGGGUAAAGGCCUACCAAGGCGACGAUCCGUAACUGGUCUGAGAGGAUGAUCAGUCACACUGGAACUGAGACACGGUCCAGACUCCUACGGGAGGCAGCAGUGGGGAAUAUUGGACAAUGGGCGAAAGCCUGAUCCAGCCAUGCCGCGUGUGUGAAGAAGGCCUUCGGGUCGUAAAGCACUUUAAGUUGGGAGGAAGGGCUCAUAGCGAAUACCUGUGAGUUUUGACGUUACCAACAGAAUAAGCACCGGCUAACUUCGUGCCAGCAGCCGCGGUAAUACGAAGGGUGCAAGCGUUAAUCGGAAUUACUGGGCGUAAAGCGCGCGUAGGUGGCUUGAUAAGUUGGAUGUGAAAUCCCCGGGCUCAACCUGGGAACUGCAUCCAAAACUGUCUGGCUAGAGUGCGGUAGAGGGUAGUGGAAUUUCCAGUGUAGCGGUGAAAUGCGUAGAUAUUGGAAGGAACACCAGUGGCGAAGGCGACUACCUGGACUGACACUGACACUGAGGUGCGAAAGCGUGGGGAGCAAACAGGAUUAGAUACCCUGGUAGUCCACGCCGUAAACGAUGUCAACUAGCCGUUGGGAUCCUUGAGAUCUUAGUGGCGCAGCUAACGCAUUAAGUUGACCGCCUGGGGAGUACGGCCGCAAGGUAAAACUCAAAUGAAUUUGACGGGGGCCCGCACAAGCGGUGGAGCAUGUGUUAAUUCGAAGCAACGCGAACAACUUACCUGGCCUUGACAUGCUGAGAACUUCCUGAGAAUGGAUUGGGCCUUCGGGAA